RNAcentral lists this long non-coding RNA (600 nucleotides) under Ananas comosus (pineapple). RNAcentral's name for it is "long non-coding RNA (ACOM_LNC027437)". Lineage: Eukaryota; Viridiplantae; Streptophyta; Magnoliopsida; Poales; Bromeliaceae. The record is from RNAcentral.
UACGAGAGUUGUACUCUGAUACCAAGUUAAAUAAUACAGAAAGAUUAUUUUUAGGGUGUAAAAAAGAAAAAAAAAAGUUGAUGUAUUAAUAUUUUGGCAUAAUUACCUAUAUACUCCUCAAAAAAAAGUUGGAAAUAUCUAAUUUACCAUUUUAUUUUUUUGUUUUCAAAUAUAUCCCUCGUAUGUUCCUCCGUUAUUGAAAAAUAAUCCCACAGUUACCACCUGUUAAGUUAUCUCAGGUUAAACGUGAGCUAAAUGUCUACCGGAGUUAAAAAAAUAUCUUUCUUGCCCUUAACUUAAGAGCAGAUAAGAAAAGUUAGUGAUAAUGGAGGGGUAUAUUUGAAAAGAUCAAAAAUCAAAAUACUUCGUCUGCCCCUAACACAAGAGCAAAUAAGAAAAAUUGAUAAUAAUAGAAGGAUAUAUUUGAAAGGGUAAAAUAAUAAUUUUAUAAAAAUAACGGCUAUUGCUAACUGUUUAACUAACAAAAUUUCACUCUAGAGAUAUAUUUGAAUUAACUUGGAACGUAAAAAGAAUAUUUUUAAUAUUAGUCUUUUAGGAGGGGGUAAAUUAGAAAGCCGAAAAUUUUUUAAGGGUAUAUAA